Molecule: ribosomal RNA, 1155 nt
Filed under: Triticum aestivum (bread wheat)
Lineage: Eukaryota; Viridiplantae; Streptophyta; Magnoliopsida; Poales; Poaceae
Description: partial small subunit ribosomal RNA
Source: RNAcentral
AUGAGCAGAGCUCGCUCGCCGCCGGCGCUGGACGACGACGACCUGCUGCCCGAGAUCCUCCUGCGCCUCCCCCCGCAGCCGUCCUCCCUCCCCCGCGCAUCCCUCGUCUGCAAGCGCUGGCGCAGCGUCGCCUCCGACCCGGCCUUCUCGCGCCGCUUCCGCCGCCACCACCGCCGCAACCCUCCCCUCCUCGGUCUCUUCCGCGUCGAAUACAAUCCCCACGUCGAGCUCCGCUUCGAGCCUUCCCUCGGUGCCCCAAAUCGAAUCUCGCCCGAACGCCUCUCCUGGCGAGGAAACGAGGAUGCCGGCUUCUACCAUCCCCUCGGAUGCCGCCAUGGCCUGGUGCUAAUCCUCGACACAACGCAGAAGCAGGUCCUGGUGUGGGACCCUGUCACCGGCGACCAGCACCGCGUCGCCAUUCCCCCAGGGUUCCAACUUGUUAGAACCCUACCCAGCGGUGCGGUGCUUCGCGGUGCCGCCGGAGACGGCGACCACUUCCAGGUGGUCUUGGUAGGCUAUGGUGAGGAACAAAUUGCACAGGUGCUCGGCUGCAUUUACUCAUCGGAAACUGGUGCGUGGGGCGAUCUCAUCUCGACAUCGGUUAGAUCCAAGGAUAUCGUGGCUUCUAUGGAUAAGCCUGCUGUGCUGGUUGGGGAUUCCCUUUACUGGUUGCUUCAUCCCGAUGGAAUUCUUGAGUUUGAUCUUGAUAGUAAGAGACUAUCUGUGAUACCUUUGCCUGUGGAAUUGGAUUUGGUGAGCAGCAGUUUAUUGUUCUCAGUUAUACGGGCAGAUAGCGGUGGGCUUGGUUUCCUCCUUUUGUCAGACUUCAAUGCCCAAUUGUGGGAGAGGAAGACCGGUUCUGAUGGUGUUACUUCAUGGGUGCUGGAAACAACUAUUGAAAUUGAUAGCCUACUUCCUCUGGAUUACGCAGAGGAGGGAGGCCCCCCAGUGAUACUAGCGUAUGCCGAAGAAAAUAACACGGCUCUCAUGUUAGAUGUUGGUCACCGUGGUGGUCUCUUCAUGAUCCAGCUUAAGUCAUUCAAGUUUGAGAAACUCUUGCGAAACAACAACUUAGAUUACUUUCACUUAUUCGAAAGUGUCUACACUGCAGAAACAUGCAUUGGUGGUGGAGCUGGUCUUUUACACAGCACAUAA